This 77-nucleotide ribozyme is filed under the name Rhodnius prolixus. RNAcentral's name for it is "drz-agam-1 ribozyme". It matches the Rfam family "drz-agam-1 ribozyme". The record is from Rfam by way of RNAcentral. Lineage: Eukaryota; Metazoa; Arthropoda; Insecta; Hemiptera; Reduviidae.
GGGGCAAAAAAUCUGAUCUCUACCUCCACGAGGUGCCUCCCGGACAACUGCUCUAAAGAGCAGGCUAACAGAGACAG